UACGUAGGGCGCAAGCGUUGUCCGGAAUUAUUGGGCGUAAAGAGCUUGUAGGUGGCUUGUCGCGUCUGCCGUGAAAACCCGAGGCUCAACCUCGGGCGUGCGGUGGGUACGGGCAGGCUAGAGUGUGGUAGGGGAGACUGGAACUCCUGGUGUAGCGGUGAAAUGCGUAGAGAUCUGGAGGAAUACCGGUGGCGAAGGCAGGUCUCUGGGCCAUUACUGACACUGAGAAGCGAAAGCAUGGGGAGCGAACAG
This 252-nucleotide ribosomal RNA is filed under the name uncultured bacterium. Its description in RNAcentral is "partial 16S ribosomal RNA". It matches the Rfam family "Bacterial small subunit ribosomal RNA", at positions 524 to 775 of the family's 1533-position model. The record is from RNAcentral.